This 339-nucleotide unclassified non-coding RNA is filed under the name soil metagenome. RNAcentral describes it as "partial contains 5.8S ribosomal RNA, internal transcribed spacer 2, and large subunit ribosomal RNA". The stretch from base 1 to 120 matches the Rfam family "5.8S ribosomal RNA", at positions 35 to 154 of the family's 154-position model. The record is from RNAcentral.
GAUGAAGAACGCAGCGAAAUGCGAUACGUAGUGUGAAUUGCAGAAUUCAGUGAAUCAUCGAAUCUUUGAACGCACUUUGCACCUCUCGGUAUUCCGGGAGGUAUGCCUGUUCGAGCGUCAUUUGUACCCUCAAGCUCUGCUUGGUGUUGGGUGUUUGUUCCGCCUCUGUGUGUGAACUCGCCUCAAAACAAUUGGCAGCCGGCGUACUUGUUUCGGAGCGCAGCACAUUUUGCGAUCCAGAUCAACGUACAGCGGCAUCCAAGAAGCCUUAUUUAACGCUCUUGACCUCGGAUCAGGUAGGGAUACCCGCUGAACUUAAGCAUAUCAAUAAGCGGAGGA